Molecule: long non-coding RNA, 296 nt
Organism: Sander lucioperca (pikeperch)
Lineage: Eukaryota; Metazoa; Chordata; Actinopteri; Perciformes; Percidae
Exons: 3
Source: RefSeq, a predicted model, not a curated record
GGUUUGUGAAAACGGAGGAAGACUUCUGAACGGUGUCUGUAUCUGUCCGGACAACUGGACCGGAAAGAACUGCUCAGUAGCGAGUUUCUGCGAAGCCCAGAAGGUGGGGAAAUUCAACUUCCCACAAACACCCAUCGGCUGGUACGCUUAUUCUAAGGAAAAAUGUCUUCCAGGAACGCAUGCCGCGGGUAAACCCCAGGCUUCGACCAGAUGUUCCAAAAGGAACAUAACCGCGAGUUUCCAGGAUCCGCCGCGCGUCCUCGAGUGUGGACAGACGCUUGCCGACAUUCUACAAA